GACGAACGCUGGCGGCGUGCUUAACACAUGCAAGUCGAACGAUGAACCCGGAGCUUGCUCCGGUGGAUUAGUGGCGAACGGGUGAGUAACACGUGAGUAACCUGCCCUUGACUCUGGGAUAACUGCGGGAAACUGUAGCUAAUACCGGAUACGACCCUCGGCGGCAUCGCCAGGGGGUGGAAAGAAUUUCGGUCAAGGAUGGACUCGCGGCCUAUCAGCUAGUUGGUGAGGUAACGGCUCACCAAGGCGACGACGGGUAGCCGGCCUGAGAGGGUGACCGGCCACACUGGGACUGAGACACGGCCCAGGCUCCUACGGGAGGCAGCAGUGGGGAAUAUUGCACAAUGGGCGCAAGCCCGAUGCAGCAACGCCGCGUGAGGGAUGACGGCCUUCGGGUUGUAAACCUCUUUUAGUAGGGAAGAAGCGAAAGUGUCGGUACCUGCAGAAAAAGCACCGGCUAACUACGUGCCAGCAGCCGCAGUAA
RNAcentral lists this ribosomal RNA (484 nucleotides) under uncultured bacterium. Its description in RNAcentral is "partial 16S ribosomal RNA". It matches the Rfam family "Bacterial small subunit ribosomal RNA", at positions 28 to 523 of the family's 1533-position model. The record is from RNAcentral.